RNAcentral lists this ribosomal RNA (461 nucleotides) under uncultured bacterium. Its description in RNAcentral is "bacterial SSU rRNA". It matches the Rfam family "Bacterial small subunit ribosomal RNA", at positions 917 to 1382 of the family's 1533-position model. The record is from RNAcentral.
GGGCCCGCACAAGCAGUGGAGUAUGUGGUUUAAUUCGAAGCAACGCGAAGAACCUUACCAGGUCUUGACAUCCGAUUAAUUUUGCAGAGAUGCAGAAGUGCCUUUCGGGGAAAAUCGAGACAGGUGGUGCAUGGUUGUCGUCAGCUCGUGUCGUGAGAUGUUGGGUUAAGUCCCGCAACGAGCGCAACCCUUGUUAAUAGUUGCUACGCGAGAGCACUCUAUUAAGACUGCCGUUGACAAAACGGAGGAAGGUGGGGAUGACGUCAAAUCAUCAUGCCCCUUAUGACCUGGGCUACACACGUACUACAAUGGCCGUUAACAGAGGGAAGCAAUACCGCGAGGAGGAGCAAACCCCUAAAAACGGUCUCAGUUCAGAUUGCAGGCUGAAACCCGCCUGCAUGAAGAUGGAAUUGCUAGUAAUCGCGGAUCAGCAUGCCGCGGUGAAUACGUUCCCGGGCCUU